RNAcentral lists this long non-coding RNA (274 nucleotides) under Elaeis guineensis (African oil palm). Its description in RNAcentral is "long non-coding RNA (EGUI_LNC041210)". Lineage: Eukaryota; Viridiplantae; Streptophyta; Magnoliopsida; Arecales; Arecaceae. The record is from RNAcentral.
AUGCCCAACCAGAAAAUCUCAUGCCUCCUAGCAAUUUCACAUGCCCAUCUGGAGACUUGUGACACAUGGCAAACAUCGAAAAAAAUCCAAGAGUUGCUUCACGUAGAAAGAAUCUUCGAAGAAAUUUUUUCCAUUAUUUUUUUGAUGCAUUGCGAGGCUUCCUUGGGUGGCAUUUUUCUCCAACCUUAACCAGCACACUUUGGCCAUCCAAGGGCCCACAAAGGAGGUGCUAACUUGAAGAUGGCAUGGAGAAACAAUCAGAAAUAAAGGUGGC